This is a long non-coding RNA of Bubalus bubalis (water buffalo), 421 nucleotides long. RefSeq lists it as uncharacterized. Lineage: Eukaryota; Metazoa; Chordata; Mammalia; Artiodactyla; Bovidae. The transcript is spliced from 3 exons. The record is from RefSeq and is a predicted model, not a curated record.
GUGUUACACUUGGAUAGAGGAUGCUGUCUCUGUACCCCUUAUUAUAGAGUUACUCUCAAAAGGUCCUUAAGGAGAAUGAAAGAGGUGCCUUCUGUAUGUUAGACUCACACACAUCAGUCAAGUUGAAGAAUUGGUUUAAAUCUUUAAAUGAGUACAGAAAUUAUAAUUCAUAUUUGACCAAUUGUGCCUAGAUAUUAAAGUAUGUUCUCUUAAGUGCUUUCUGUUUUGUUUAAUAUCAGUAUAUGCAAGUUUUUUUCUGAAAAUGUCUAUAUUUAUGAGUCAUUUUCCUCAAUUUUUUUUUUUUUUAAUACUGGGCCUUUAACAUCCUACUUUAACACAACAGUUCUCAAUGUGGAAAUCACGUCUUACUUGCUGAACCUUACUGCAGAAAUUUGUGUUGUAAUAAAUUUUUAUGAUGUGG